GACUACAUGAAGCUGGAAUCGCUAGUAAUCGCGGAUCAGAAUGCCGCGGUGAAUACGUUCCCGGGUCUUGUACACACCGCCCGUCACACCAUGGGAGUCGGAAAUGCCCGAAGUCAGUGACCCAACCGUAAGGAGGGAGCUGCCGAAGGUGGAGCCGGUAACUGGGGUGAAGUCGUAACAAGGUAUC
Molecule: ribosomal RNA, 187 nt
Filed under: uncultured bacterium
Lineage: Bacteria
Description: partial 16S ribosomal RNA
Rfam family: Bacterial small subunit ribosomal RNA
Source: RNAcentral